AUUUAAUUAGUAUAUUCAAGUACAUUUAAUUUCCAAUUAAAAAGAUUUAUUACAAAAAUUAAAUA
RNAcentral lists this transfer RNA (65 nucleotides) under Ixodes vespertilionis. Its description in RNAcentral is "tRNA-Gly". The record is from RNAcentral. Lineage: Eukaryota; Metazoa; Arthropoda; Arachnida; Ixodida; Ixodidae.